UGGGGAGCCGGACCAUGGAGUUGCGGGGCUCCGGCUGGGGGAGUUGUGCCAAAAGGCAAAAGCUGACAUUAACAUUGUGUAAGCAGAGUCAGGAUAAGCUCUACACUGACAUCUGGUGGAAAGAAUUUCAGAGAGUGUAUUUGCAUAGGCACGCCCACCCUAUCCCAGACUGCCAAGCUGUGGGACUGCUUGGUGACAAAUUGCUCACCCUCAGUUGGGUGGUACUGGCUAGACAUGGGACAUGGGUUCCAAAACCCAGAGAAUUGAGAGAGGCUGAUGACAGGUAUCUGUGCCUGGUGGUGCAGUCUCCUUGUGGAGCCAGAAGCACCAUUUCUACACCUUCCUCUCUCCACUGGAAUGUCAGAGUUGAUUUUUUUAUUCCCUCAAGAAUCUAAAUACAGGUUACUGAGCUGAAAUCACUUGGGGCUAAUGGUGCACUAGCACUGGGGCUCCCCUACUAUGAGCUGGAAUCACUAAGAGCUGAAAAUCACUAAAAAGCUAAAAUCACUGAGCUGAGAGCACUGAGUACAGUGCUAACUAGUGGGGAGCCCAAAGCUAUACUGUGGAACAGAGCUGCUGGCGGAGUGGAGCAGUUUGUGGGGAUGGCUGGAGCGGAUCACGGGACAGCUGGUGGCAGCGGAGUGGCUGGCAGAGCGGAGUAGCUGUGAGACGGGUGGAGCGGCCCGCAGAGCUGAGCAGUUUGCAGGGACAACUGGAGCAGCUCACAGGGCAGCUGGUGGAGCAGAGCAGCUGGUGGAGCGGAGCAGUUUCUGAGAACGGCUGGAGGAGCAGAGUGGAGCGGCUGGUAAAGCGCAGCAGUUCGUGGAGAAGGCGGGAGCAGAACCCACGGAGAGGCAGGGCAGUUGGCCCCAGACCACGUAAGGUGCCCCUUUCUACCAGGCUGGGGGGGGGAGACCUCUGCAGAUAGACUCUCGAACUUUGGGGCUGCACUGACCCAGGACAGAGACUUUUGGGACUGUGGGUGAUUUGGGGGUUGCUGGACUCAAGAGCCCAGGAAAGAGGACACAGCCCAAUUUCCUGGGGUGGGUCUUUGCUCACGGUUUGGUCUAUGAACUCUAGUAGAGGUGUUUUUCCCAAUUUAGUGUUUGUUGUUUAUCUCAUGUAUUAAAUCUUUUCUGCUAAA
Molecule: long non-coding RNA, 1144 nt
Organism: Gopherus flavomarginatus (Mexican gopher tortoise)
Lineage: Eukaryota; Metazoa; Chordata; Testudines; Testudinidae
Exons: 2
Source: RefSeq, a predicted model, not a curated record